RNAcentral lists this ribosomal RNA (321 nucleotides) under uncultured bacterium. RNAcentral's name for it is "bacterial SSU rRNA". It matches the Rfam family "Bacterial small subunit ribosomal RNA", at positions 28 to 333 of the family's 1533-position model. The record is from RNAcentral.
GACGAACGCUGGCGGCGUGCCUCAGACAUGCAAGUCGAACGCGAAAGUCCCCUUCGGGGGACAAGUAGAGUGGCGCACGGGUGAGUAACACGUAGGUAAUCCACCUUCGGAUGGGGAAUAACAACCGGAAACGGUUGCUAAUACCGCAUAAUGCAGCGGCACCUAAUGGUGACAGUUGUUAAAGCGGGGGAUCGAAAGACCUCGCGUCUGAAGAGGAGCCUGCGGCGGAUUAGCUAGUUGGAAGGUAACGGCUUACCAAGGCGACGAUCCGUAGCCGGCCUGAGAGGGCGGUCGGCCACACUGACACUGACAUACGGGUCA